GUCUUGGGAUUUGAAUCUCGGUAUGCGCUGCUCAGUUACUUCCAGAGCAAUCCACCAAGGAUAGUAUUUUCCUUCUACAGGUCCUAGACUCCUUCAUUCUCUUCAUCUAAAUCCACCAGUACAAAACGCCCUUGGAAAACGCUGACAGAGUCUUUUGACCCUCCGCUGCACCCGUCACUCGCGCAGCCGGCGGAAGUAGAGAGCAGUUGGCCGGAAGUGAGGCUGUGAGGCGGGUAGGCAUUGCCGGAGCUGAGACUCCAAAGUGCCAAGAACCCUGUCAAGUGGUAGUGUGGGAUAUGACCUACCUCGGCUACCAGGGAAGUCAGACAGGAGCCAAGGGGUGCCACUUGGUGUGGCCCUGAAGAAAAUUUUCCAUGGAUGACUGGAACACCCUUCUGUAUUACUCCCUGAAAUCACACUUUGGUUUCUUUCUGAUGCUUGAAACUAUUCUAUGAGCUACAAAGAUGGUAAUAAAUCUUUGCCUCCCACAGUUCAGACCAAGAAUUCACUGCAACAAGAUAUCAGCUGAUGGUUAUGAAGUAGAAAAUCUCAUCUCUGAAGACCUCACAAAGAGAAGCCAUGGUUUUAGGACAGAGUAUUUCAUUAAGCCACCAGUCCACGUGACAGUUUCCUUUCCCUUUAAUGUAUGCCAAAUCUGUAGGAUUCAUAGACCUCACAGCUUGGGGCAGCCAGAAUGUCACUGGCCUGGAGAUGUACACGUCCACCUUAUCCAGCAGAGCCUCUUGGAGUGGGCCCAAGUGCCAGGGCCUCAGCUCCACCGAGCCCUCCUGUGCCCAACAAAGAGGCGUUCACCUUGGUCGGCAAAGUCUUGCUGAAGAACCAGAGCCAAGUGGUAUUCAGCCAGGGCUUCCAAGGCCAGGCCACCUUUUAGCCCAGUGGAAGUCACACUUCCCUCCCCUGCAGUUAUGGCCCAGGAGCUCUGGAAUAAAGGGACUCUUUCCCUUUGCCAUGUGGCCCACCUCAGGAUCUGCAUCACCCACGUGACGGGCAGUGGUGUCCCUUGCAUCAAGAGGUUGGAGGCAGGGUCAGCCGGCCAAGACUUGCUCUCAGGAGGUGAUAGACAGUGUCUUGCUGGUGGCCUCAGAGAGUAUACCUCAGGACCUGGCCCUGCAGAACCGAGCCUCUGCCCAUGGAGAGUGACUGCCACCCGAAGGCCAAUCUGAGGGCCAGCAGGCCCCUUCCAGCCUCGAGGAGCUGGCUGAGGUGAUUUGGGAAGUGCCUGAGGAGUCUCCUGGAUCCCAUCACCCUGGAGAUCAUGCCCUGCCCCAUGCUGCUGCUCCUCGGGCAAGGUCAUCGAUCAGAGCACCCUAGAGAAGUGCUAACCGCAGUGAGGCCACUUGGGGCCGAGUGCCCAGUGACCCAUUCACAGGCAUUGCCUUCACCCCGCACUCCCAACCCCUGCCACACCCCACCCUGAAGGCCCGCAUAGACCACUUCCUGCUCCAGCACUCUGUCCCUAGCUGCCACCUGCUUGGGAGAGCACAGGCUGCACUCAGCAGUGACCCCUUCUUCCAUAACCCCUGCCUUCUCGGAAAAGGAAGCUGGAGCAGGGGCACCGGGCCCAGACAGUAGCCUUGGUGUGAACACUUCCUGCUUUCCUCCGGACCACAAAACUUUCUGGUCUCUUCCACUGCUUCAGAACAUUCCACCAAGAAAAUGAAGGCCACCGACGAGCCUAUCCUGAUGCACAUGGACUGCUCCACAGAAUCAGUGUCCCAUGAGCAAAAGCUGUCACAAAGCUUGAAAAUGGCCUUGAUGACCACCCUUGGCUCUAUGCCUUCCUUCACACCCCGGCUGAAUAGGGGGACAGCUCCAGCACCUGGGCACAAGAGGAAGCAGCACUUCGGGAGGCCAGGCGCCAGCUCAGGGCAGCCUGGCUGCCACCCAGGCCCCGAGUGCACCUCCUGCAAAAGAGUGUUUUCUUCCUACUUCAAAAAAGGAGCCCAUGUACCAGCUGCCCUGUGGCCACCUCCUGUGCCGCCCUUGCCUGGGUGAGAAGCAGCACUCCCUGCCCAUGACCUGCACAGCCUGCCAGCAGCCCUUCACCAGCCAGGAUGUGCUGCGGGUGCACUUCUGACUGACCAGCCUCAGCUGGAGACAGCCAUCACUGGAAGGAGCCAGUGGGGAGCAGGAUUGGGGUCACAGCACCUCUGCGGUUUGGCCAGAGACAGGCACAGAGCUGCCUGUUCUCUUUCUGGGCUUUGUCACCUCACAGUGCAGCACAGGGGUGGGGGGCAGGCUUACUUCUAUUCAGGUGGCCACAAGAUAAAGCCAUAGACUGGGUAGGGAGGGUUGGGGAGAUAUCCCUGCUCUCCUGUACCUCCCUGCCAUGCCCCUGCCAACACCUGCCCAGGGUGGGCACCCCUCCUGAAGGCAUCCCACAUUGUCUGCACACCCCCUCCCAGCAAAGCCUGCAGAGUGGGGCACAGUGAACUGCUCAGGGUCACCCAGAAGUAAACCACACGGGGCUUGGGGUGCAUGACUCAGCCCCUGCCCCCAGCUGGCAACACCUGUGGCCUUAAUAAAGUGAUGGUUGACGUCCUCCUUGGGGAGCACCUGUGUCAUCAUACUCCUGUCCCCAUUUGUCCAUUAAGUGACUGUCACGGGGCACCCAUGAAAGGACAAAAGCUAGAUGGCGUGUUCAGUCUGCCCUGUGUUGGAGGGCCCCAGGUCAGGGUUUGCAGUAGGCAUCACCGUGGGGGCUGUGUAGCCUCCAUCUGCAAGGUACCUGUUGCAGCUGUCAUGGAGAAAACACCUGUGCAGCAUGUGGCCCAUUUCAGGAAAAAAUUUGUGUUUAUAGGCUGUCUUUGUUUUUUUUUCUAUUCACAAUCUAGCUUUAUGGAGUCCCAAAGGAUAUGUAUUCCUACAGCUUUGCUUACCAUAUCAAAUAGAUUCUAGUCACCUGAAGAUUCAGUGAGGAAAUACACCACGCUAUUCUGUGCACUUCCGGAGCACACUGGGGAGACUCAGCCUGACGUGCUCCUGCUUAACCCCUGAGGUUAAUGGCAAGCCUUGUGGGCAGCCCAUUUCUUGUCCC
Molecule: long non-coding RNA, 3058 nt
Organism: Heterocephalus glaber (naked mole-rat)
Lineage: Eukaryota; Metazoa; Chordata; Mammalia; Rodentia; Bathyergidae
Source: Ensembl